RNAcentral lists this ribosomal RNA (451 nucleotides) under uncultured bacterium. RNAcentral's name for it is "bacterial SSU rRNA". It matches the Rfam family "Bacterial small subunit ribosomal RNA", at positions 10 to 507 of the family's 1533-position model. The record is from RNAcentral.
AGUUUGAUCAUGGCUCAGAACGAACGCUGGCGGCAUGCCUAACACAUGCAAGUCGAACGAAGCCUUCGGGCUUAGUGGCGCACGGGUGCGUAACGCGUGGGAAUCUGCCCUUGGGUUCGGAAUAACAGUUAGAAAUGACUGCUAAUACCGAAUGAUGUCUUCGGACCAAAGAUUUAUCGCCCAAGGAUGAGCCCGCGUCGGAUUAGCUAGUUGGUGAGGUAAAGGCUCACCAAGGCGACGAUCCGUAGCUGGUCUGAGAGGAUGAUCAGCCACACUGGGACUGAGACACGGCCCAGACUCCUACGGGAGGCAGCAGUGGGGAAUAUUGGACAAUGGGCGAAAGCCUGAUCCAGCAAUGCCGCGUGAGUGAUGAAGGCCUUAGGGUUGUAAAGCUCUUUUACCCGGGAUGAUAAUGACAGUACCGGGAGAAUAAGCCCCGGCUAACUCCGUG